AAAAUCCCGACUGUUUGGAAGGGAUGUAUUUAUUAGAUAAAAAAUCAAUGUCUUCGGACUCUUUGAUGAUUCAUAAUAACUUUUCGAAUCGCAUGGCCUUGUGCUGGCGAUGGUUCAUUCAAAUUUCUGCCCUAUCAACUUUCGAUGGUAGGAUAGUGGCCUACCAUGGUUUCAACGGGUAACGGGGAAUAAGGGUUCGAUUCCGGAGAGGGAGCCUGAGAAACGGCUACCACAUCCAAGGAAGGCAGCAGGCGCGCAAAUUACCCAAUCCCGACACGGGGAGGUAGUGACAAUAAAUAACGAUACAGGGCCCUUUCGGGUCUUGUAAUUGGAAUGAGUACAAUGUAAAUACCUUAACGAGGAACAAUUGGAGGGCAAGUCUGGUGCCAGCAGCCGCGGUAAUUCCAGCUCCAAAAGCGUAUAUUAAAGUUGUUGCAGUUAAAAAGCUCGUAGUUGAACCUUGGGCUUGGUUGGCCGGUCCAUUUUUCUGAUGCGUACUGGACCCAACCGAGCCUUUCCUUCUGGCUAGCCUUUUGGCGAACCAGGACUUUUACUUUGAAAAAAUUAGAGUGUUCAAAGCAGGCCUUUGCUCGAAUAUAUUAGCAUGGAAUAAUAGAAUAGGACGUUAUGGUUCUAUUUUGUUGGUUUCUAGGACCAUCGUAAUGAUUAAUAGGGACGGUCGGGGGUAUCAGUAUUCAGUUGUCAGAGGUGAAAUUCUUGGAUUUACUGAAGACUAACUACUGCGAAAGAUNUUACCAAGGACGUUUUCAUUAAUCAAGAACGAAAGUUAGGGGGAUCGAAGAUGAUCAGAUACCGUCGUAGUCUUAACCAUAAACUAUGCCGACUAGGGAUCGGUUGUUGUUCUUUUAUUGACGCAAUCGGCACCUUACGAGAAAUCAAAGUCUUUGGGUUCUGGGGGGGAGUAUGGUCGCAAGGCUGAAACUUAAAGGAAUUGACGGAAGGGCACCACCAGGAGUGGAGCCUGCGCUUAAWUUUGACUCACACGGGGAAACUCACCAGGUCA
This 1024-nucleotide ribosomal RNA is filed under the name Candida tropicalis. RNAcentral's name for it is "SSU rRNA". It matches the Rfam family "Eukaryotic small subunit ribosomal RNA", at positions 175 to 1236 of the family's 1831-position model. The record is from RNAcentral. Lineage: Eukaryota; Fungi; Ascomycota; Pichiomycetes; Serinales; Debaryomycetaceae.